CUACGGAGGGUGCAAGCGUUACUCGGAAUCACUGGGCGUAAAGCGCGCGCAGGCGGGCUGGUAAGUUGGAUGUGAAAGCCUACGGCUCAACCGUAGAACUGCAUCCAAAACUGUCAGUCUAGAGUGUGGGAGAGGAAGAUGGAAUUAGUUGUGUAGGGGUAAAAUCCGUAGAGAUAACUAGGAAUACCAAAAGCGAAGGCAAUCUUCUGGAACACUACUGACGCUGAGGCGCGAAGGCGUGGGGAGCGAACAGGAUUAGAAACCCCGGUAGUCC
This 274-nucleotide ribosomal RNA is filed under the name uncultured bacterium. RNAcentral describes it as "partial 16S ribosomal RNA". It matches the Rfam family "Bacterial small subunit ribosomal RNA", at positions 523 to 796 of the family's 1533-position model. The record is from RNAcentral.